This is a non-coding RNA of Vicia faba (fava bean), 306 nucleotides long. The record is from the annotation of a GenBank genome assembly. NCBI's taxonomy places the organism in Eukaryota, Viridiplantae, Streptophyta, Magnoliopsida, Fabales, Fabaceae.
AUGAGAAUGAAGGAUGAAACGUUGGAUGGGAAAUUUUCCGAUUGCGUGUGUGUUUACGUUUAUCAAGCCAUGCUCGGAGAUGGUGAAGCUGAAAACUACUGCGUUUUUCGGGUUACAUAUGAAAUGGAUUAUUGGAUUGGACUGGGCCUCGUUAAGUAUAUAUAUGUACAAUCUUGUUGGCUCUUCUUACCACACCGUUAUUUGUUUGUCAUUCGAGAUUUUGUAUUUUUUAGUUUGAGCGAAAUAAAAAAAUUGUUAUAUUCGAUCAAGAAAUAUCUAAACAAUAGAAUCGCAUAUUCAUUCUAC